RNAcentral lists this ribosomal RNA (434 nucleotides) under uncultured bacterium. RNAcentral's name for it is "bacterial SSU rRNA". It matches the Rfam family "Bacterial small subunit ribosomal RNA", at positions 30 to 504 of the family's 1533-position model. The record is from RNAcentral.
UGAACGCUGGCGGUAUGCUUUACACAUGCAAGUCGUACGGGAGUUUUUAACUCAAGUGGCGGACGGGUGAGUAACACGUAAGAAUUUACCUUUAGGAGGGGGAUAACAACUGGAAACGGUUGCUAAUACCCCAUAUGCUUUCGAGUGAAAUGGAUUUUUCCGCCUAGAGAGAAGCUCGCGGCUGAUUAGCUUGUUGGUAGGGUAAUGGCCUACCAAGGCGACGAUCAGUAUCUGGUUUGAGAGGACGAUCAGACACACUGGAACUGAGACACGGUCCAGACUCCUACGGGAGGCAGCAGUGGGGAAUUUUCCGCAAUGGGCGAAAGCCUGACGGAGCAAUACCGCGUGAGGGAAGACGGCCUAUGGGUUGUAAACCCCUUUUUUCAGGGAGGAAUCAAUGACGUGUACCUGAAGAAUAAGCAUCGGCUAACUCC